Non-coding RNA from Meleagris gallopavo (turkey), 173 nucleotides. NCBI's taxonomy places the organism in Eukaryota, Metazoa, Chordata, Aves, Galliformes, Phasianidae. The record is from RefSeq and is a predicted model, not a curated record.
CUGGGGAAAGGUCUCUUCUGGAAAUCUUUCCUUUUGGCUCUUUCUUGUGAACUUAGAGCUGGAUACAGUACAUGUGAUCUUCAGAUGUUGUUCACCAGGAGUCUCCUAGGCACGUGCUAUUUGCAGGAAUUUGAGUGCUCUUUGGCCACGUGGGACAUGAGGUGCCAGUUGAG